GUGGGGAAUAUUGGACAAUGGGCGCAAGCCUGAUCCAGCCAUACCGCGUGGGUGAAGAAGGCCUUCGGGUUGUAAAGCCCUUUUGUUGGGAAAGAAAUCCUGUCGGUUAAUACCUGGCGGGGAUGACGGUACCCAAAGAAUAAGCACCGGCUAACUUCGUGCCAGCAGCCGCGGUAAUACGACGGGUGCAAGCGUUACUCGGAAUUACUGGGCGAAAAGCGUGCGUAGGUGGUGGGUUAAGUCCGGUGUGAAAGCCCUGGGCUCAACCUGGGAAUUGCAGUGGAUACUGGAUCACUAGAGUGUGGUAGAGGGAUGCGGAAUUUCUGGUGUAGCAGUGAAAUGCGUAGAGAGCAGAAGGAACAUCCGUGGCGAAGGCGGCAUCCUGGGCCAACACUGACACUGAGGCACGAAAGCGUGUGGAGCAAACAGGAUUAGAAACCCGAGUAGUCC
RNAcentral lists this ribosomal RNA (450 nucleotides) under uncultured bacterium. RNAcentral's name for it is "partial 16S ribosomal RNA". It matches the Rfam family "Bacterial small subunit ribosomal RNA", at positions 354 to 796 of the family's 1533-position model. The record is from RNAcentral.